RNAcentral lists this unclassified non-coding RNA (288 nucleotides) under uncultured fungus. RNAcentral's name for it is "partial contains small subunit ribosomal RNA, internal transcribed spacer 1, and 5.8S ribosomal RNA". The stretch from base 1 to 73 matches the Rfam family "Eukaryotic small subunit ribosomal RNA", at positions 1759 to 1831 of the family's 1831-position model. Lineage: Eukaryota; Fungi. The record is from RNAcentral.
UCAAACUUGGUCAUUUAGAGGAAGUAAAAGUCGUAACAAGGUCUCCGUAGGUGAACCUGCGGAGGGAUCAUUACAGCGAGCUCGUUGCCCCCUGGGCCGACCUCCCACCCACUGUUAUCGCUACGACCGUUGCUUUGGCGGGCCGUCGGGCCCCGCCCGCCGCCGGCCCGCCGGCGCGCGCCCGCCAGAGGCCCCCAGACUCGCUGUCAGUGUCGUCCGAGUGCCAUGAUAAUCGUCAAAACUUUCAACAACGGAUCUCUUGGUUCUGGCAUCGAUGAAGAACGCAGC